Molecule: ribosomal RNA, 490 nt
Filed under: uncultured bacterium
Lineage: Bacteria
Description: partial 16S ribosomal RNA
Rfam family: Bacterial small subunit ribosomal RNA
Source: RNAcentral
AUUGAACGCUGGCGGCAGGCCUAACGCAUGCAAGUCGAACGGUAACAGGAAGAAGCUUGCUUCUUUGCUGACGAGUGGCGGACGGGUGAGUCAUGUCUGGGAAACUGCCUGAUGGAGGGGGAUAACUACUGGAAACGGUAGCUAAUACCGCAUAACUUCUCAAGACCAAAGAGGGGGACCUUCGGGCCUCUUGCCAUCGGAUUUGCCCAGAUGGGAUUCGCUAGUAGGUGGGGUAACGGCUCACCUAGGCGACGAUCCCUAGCUGGUCUGAGAGGAUGACCAGCCACACUGGAACUGAGACACGGUCCAGACUCCUACGGGAGGCAGCAGUGGGGAAUAUUGCACAAUGGGCGCAAGCCUGAUGCAGCCAUGCCGCGUGUAUGAAGAAGGCCUUCGGGUUGUAAAGUACUUUCAGCGGGGAGGAAGGGAGUAAAGUUAAUACCUUUGCUCAUUGACGUUACCCGCAGAAGAAGCACCGGCUAACUCCGUG